GCCCUUGGUUGACCUGCCGGACCCGACUGCUAUCGGGGUAAGGCUGAGCCAUGCGAGUCUAGGGCUCCAGGCUAAGGUGGGGCCCGGCAUACGGCUGAGUAACACGUAGCUAACCUACCCUUAGGAGGGGGAUAACCCCGGGAAACUGGGGUUAAACCCCCAUAGGUGAGGACGUCUGGAACCGAGUCCUCGCCGAAAGGGCUUCUAGACCAUGCUUCUAGAAGCCGCCUAAGGAUGGGGCUACGGCCCAUCAGGUGGUUGGCGGGGUAACGGCCCGCCAAGCCUAUAACGGGUAGGGGCCGUGAGAGCGGGAGCCCCCAGAUGGGCCCUGAGACAAGGGCCCAGGCCCUACGGGGCGCAGCAGGCGCGAAAACUCCGCUAUGCGCGAAAGCGCGACGGGGUUACCCCGAGUGCCUCCCGCUGAGGGGGGCUUUUCCCCAGUGUAAACAGCUGGGGGAAUAAGAGGAGGGUAAGCCUGGUGUCAGCCGCCGCGGUAAUACCAGCUCCCCAAGUGGUCGGGACGAUUAUUGGGCCUAAAGCGUCCGUAGCCGGCUUGGUAAGUCCCCUGUUAAAUUCGGCGAUCCAAUCGCCGAACUGCAGGGGAUACUGCCAGGCUAGGGGGUGGGAGAGGCCGACGGUAUUCCCGGGGGAGGAGUAAAAUCCUCAGAUCCCGGGAGGACCACCAGUGGCGAAGGCGGUCGGCUGGAACACGCCCGACGGUGAGGGACGAAAGCUGGGGGAGCGAGCCGGAUUAGAGACCCGGGUAGUCCCAGCUGUAAACCAUGCGGGCUAGGUGUCGGAUCGGCUAAGAGCCGAUCCGGUGCCGAAUGGAAGCAACUAAGCCCGCCGCCUGGGGAGUACGGCCGCAAGGCUGAAACUUAAAGGAAUUGGCGGGGGGGCACCACAAGGGGUGGAGGCUGCGGUUUAAUUGGAGUCAACGCCGGGAACCUCACCAGGGGCGACAGCAGGAUGACGGCCAGGCUGACGACCUUGCCUGACGCGCUGAGAGGAGGUGCAUGGCCGUCGCCAGCUCGUGCCGUGAGGUGUCCGGUUAAGUCCGGCAACGAGCGAGACCCCCGCCCCUAGUUGCUACCAGUACCCAACGGGUACUGGGCACACUAGGGGGACUGCCGGCGCUAAGCCGGAGGAAGGAGGGGGCUACGGCAGGUCAGUAUGCCCCGAAACCCCUGGGCUACACGCGGCCUACAAUGGCGGGGACAGCGGGUUCCGAACCCGAAAGGGGGAGGUAACCCCUGAAACCCCGCCAUAGUUGGGAUCGAGGGCUGCAACUCGCCCUCGUGAACGGGGAAUCCCUAGUAACCGCGCGUCAUCAUCGCGCGGUGAAUACGUCCCUGCUCCUUGUACACACCGCCCGUCAAGGGC
This 1383-nucleotide ribosomal RNA is filed under the name uncultured crenarchaeote. RNAcentral describes it as "bacterial SSU rRNA". It matches the Rfam family "Archaeal small subunit ribosomal RNA". The record is from RNAcentral. Lineage: Archaea; Thermoproteati; Thermoproteota.